This 582-nucleotide long non-coding RNA is filed under the name Homo sapiens (human). RNAcentral describes it as "non-protein coding lnc-ZNF720-1:4". The record is from RNAcentral. Lineage: Eukaryota; Metazoa; Chordata; Mammalia; Primates; Hominidae.
UGUCACCACAUCACUUCUCACUGCACCUGGGUGGCAGCACACUGGACCACGUCUCAGAGCUGCGCAGCAUGGCAGGGCUGCAGGCGGGCUUGCUGCUCCACGUGGUGGAAGAGCCCUGCACAAUGCACAAGGCCCACGGUGAUGAGUGCCACAUUUGAGACUGCUCAGGAGCCUGGACCCAGCUGAUGCAGCUCCUUGUCCUUCCUGAGCGUCUUCACUGACAGUGGCCUGAGAGACGGCAGGAGCAGAAAGACUUGGAGAUGGACCCCACCGACUGCACACCACCCAAGUACAUCCUGCUAGGGACCCUGGAACAGCCACUGUGUCCCCUGCAACCCCAGAACGGUGACUAAAAGGUGGGACUCCAGGGAGGAGCAAGGAAGAGGGUCCCCGGGUGGGUGGAGGGCCACACACCAGGAGGCCUGGCCCAUUCAUGCUUGGCCAUUCCUGCAGCCCCUGAAAGUGCUCACCGUGAGCGGCUGGUACCUGUCCCCUGGGAACUGCAAGAUGCACAGGACCUUGUGUACCUGUUUGUGAUCACAGCCGAGGACCAGCGAGGUAGCAUUACCACAUCCACACAGG